CUAGCACUUAUUAGAUAUUAAACCAGUCCUAGCAAUGGGUUUUUUGGUGAUUCAUAGUAACUGAACAAAUCACAUGGUCUCGUACCGGUGAUGUUUCAUUCAAAUUUCUGCCCUAUCAACUAGAUGGUAGUAUAUAGGACUACCAUGGUUGUAACGGGUAACGGAGGAUUAGGGUUGAUUCCGGGAGAAGGAGCAUGAGAAACGGCUACUAUUUCUAAGGAAAGCAGCAGGCGCGCAAAUUAUUCAAUGGAAACAAUUUUCCGAAAUUGUGACAAAAAAUAUCAAUGCUGGGUAUUAUAUACUUAGUAUUGGAAUGAGUACAAUUUAAAUCCCUUAACAAGUAACAAUUAGAGGGCAAGUCUGGUGCCAGCAGCCGCGGUAAUUCCAGCUCUAAUAGGCGUAUAUUAAUAUUGUUGCAGUUAAAAAGCUCGUAGUUGAAAUUUGGG
This 446-nucleotide ribosomal RNA is filed under the name uncultured eukaryote. RNAcentral's name for it is "SSU rRNA". It matches the Rfam family "Eukaryotic small subunit ribosomal RNA", at positions 200 to 645 of the family's 1831-position model. The record is from RNAcentral.